RNAcentral lists this long non-coding RNA (7452 nucleotides) under Xyrichtys novacula (pearly razorfish). The record is from RNAcentral. Lineage: Eukaryota; Metazoa; Chordata; Actinopteri; Labriformes; Labridae.
GGUUUGGUGUAAGAUGUUGAUACAUGCAGAAGAAACAGCCAAAGGGGGUUCAUCACAGCGGCCUUCAGUUGUAAUAUUAAGAGAGAUACUUGAAUAUGAGUCCAACUAGUAAAUAAAAUGCAGGCUUAAACCACAUCCAUGUAUCAAGACUUCCACUGAGAUCAGCAAUGUGUCAUUUCUAUGAAACCAUGUAGCUCCAAUGAUAGUUGUACACAAUAGCGCUAUACACAGUUGCAAUGUGUGGACAAACCAUAGACUGUAUAUAGAAUAGACACUGUCUGCCUCCUUGCCGGGUGAAGCCACUGUGAGAACAGCACCCUCUUGUGACGGGCUGCAGUAUAGGUCGUAAAUCCCGCUUCCUCCAGCAAUCCCUAUGGAGUUGUGGUAAAACUUAAGAAAGUAAUUACACAGAAUAUAGACUUGUGAAAUAGAGUUUGCUUUAAACGCAUGAUUAUGACCUCAUGAGGGAGAACGAUGUCCAAAGCAGCACUGCUGGGCUUGUCCACGUCUUUUUAAAUCCUGACAACAAACUUCACCACAAAAAGGUGAGACAAUAAAAAACAAGAAUGUAAAGAAUAAAUAAGUGAAUAAACAGAUCAAUGAUUAACUAGCGGAAAGAUCAAAGCAUGUGCCUGAAUAGAAAAUUAAUCUGUAAAAAGUAAAAUACUGUACCUCUUUCUGCAUUCAUACUGAUGUACUAUGUAUUAGUUGCAUUGGUGCAUCACAAAUUUAUUUUUAGAUGACACUACAAAUGUGUCUUAUACAGAGUUUUAUGCAAUAAAAAGCUUUGACUGUAUACUGAAUGGACAUCACGCCUCAGUCUCCUCCCCCUGUGAAAAAGAAGUAACUUUUUAGAGAGCAGGUUUGACUACAAAAAGCCCCCGUAGAUUAAAACACCCGCUUUGCCUCAUGUUCUCAGAUCUGAAGGUGAGCUCGAACCACUCUUGUUGAAGGGCCGGUACUGAGUCAUUAAAAGUUUAAUAUCUGAGAGGAAGAGCACUGCCAGUGUUAGGCUCUCCGUUCUUUGUGUUGUGACCUCCUGCAGAUAAAAACACGCAGCAGUCACAGUGUUGAGUUUCACGAGGAAGCAGAUCAGACGGCAAAUCACUGAAACGAGCUGCGGCUAACGUCAAUCGUUGGGGAUUAGUUUGAGUGCUGUGCUCGUGUUUCAAAGAGCUUUCCUCAUCUCUAAACUGGUCCUGAUCGCCACUAUCUGUCGGAUGAUCUGCUAUUACAGGCUGGUGAUACUACAGCCUCACAUUUGGUCACCUUAACCUGUUCAUUAACCUGCUUCUUUUAGCAUUUUGUUUAUUUUGCUGUUGUUUUUUAUGGCAAAGGUCACAUUGAAGAUAGUAGUUGGUAUUUUUACUGUGAAGUAAAAGCCUCACAUUGAGUCCUGUUAUCUUCGUCUGAUUACAACCUCUCUGUGGGUUUCCUCAAACUCACUCGUAUUCACUUCACACUCUCAGGUGUUGAUGUUUCCUCUCUGUGCAGUAGUCUGCAGUGUGCAGUUCAGCAGGUUCUGUGUCUGGCUGCUGUUUUAGUAUGAUUAGAGCAAUGCAAACAACAUGCUAAUGAAACAUGGGUAAUGGGUAUAAUUAAUCAGACUUUGGUCAGAGUGUUGAUUUGUCGGCUCUGAUGAAAAUUAAUACACUGACGCAUGAAUUUGACACCCUUCCAGAGAAUCAUUAAGACUGAAAUUAAAUUUACAUUGAAACAGAGAUGACAUUUUCCAGAUAAAAGAUAAACAGACUUGUGUGCACAUUACGUAGAGCACUAAUUUGGUUUUUAUGACACCAAAGGAUGUAAGAAUAUAACACUUUGUAAUUGUGUGCUCUGCUCUUACCAACCUUCUCUUUCCUUCCUUUUCAAGCAGGAUUUUUUGGGGGCAUUUAAGUUUCCUGGAGUAUUACAAAUGCUGUACUUAAAUCCCCUCAGGCUUACUGUACUUUUACAGCAAAAGAGCUAGAAGCACAGUUCAGUUUGUUGUUUAUCACUUUAUGAUGCACCAAAUGUUUUGAAUAGAUGACAAAUCAGGACUUAAUGUAGGCCUAACACCUGGACUCUUCUACCAGGGUGACCAUAUGUCCUCUUUUACCCGGACAUGUCCUCUUUUGGGGGGCUGUCUGGCCUACCCAGGGGCGAUGUUUUUUUUUUGUAGGAUGGUAGGAAAGAGUCCUGCCUCCUUCGCCUCUGAUUGGCUCAAAAAGCUGGAAACGUCAUCACACACUCAAGCCAAACGCAGGCUGUUGGCUCUGUACAUCAAACAGAACAUUAUUGCACUUCUGAAUCUCCUAACCCUAACCCUAACCCUAACUCGACGGACAACGCAUUCACAGCCGUUAGGAGUAACCAAUCAGAGCCCAGCACCCAAUCAGAGGCAAAGAAGGGUCUAACAACAAAAAAUUUCGCUACCUAGGGGCAGUUUAUAAAAUGUAUUUUAAAUGUCCAGGGUUUUCUAUGGAAGCCCAUUUUUCUUUUCAAUGGCAGGAAUGGGAUUCCAUAGCUUUGAGUUUGUGUAGCGUGUACUUUAUCUUCGCACCACAGACCAUUAUAUUUGCCUUUCAUGUUCAAUGGUUUAUUUGGAAACACACUCUGAGAGACAGAACCCUGGAACAUGUAUUCAUUCAUUGUAAAACAGUGCAGCGCAUCAGUGCUCUCUGCUGCUCUGCUCCUCCGAUCAGUUCUAAACAAAGCCACUGACGAGACGCACGCAUGCACUGUCCGCCAGUAAGCGAAAGAAAAAGGAGAAAUAUUUGUAUGUGACUGAUAAUUUUGUUGUGGAGAAAUGCUUUAGAAAUGAAUAUAUUGUUUAUAAACGCAACUUUGUGUGAGUAUUUUUCAGUACCUCCAAGAGGCCUGGUUAAGUGUCUUUUUGGUAAUUCAAAAUACACGUUUAACUGAGUUAGAAGCGCAUAAAAUGACACUUGACCCAACCUGAAAAACCCUCAAAAUUUUGCAUGUGUGCGCAUAACUCCUUCUACCUCUACUCCAGAGCCAGACUGUUGUACUGAAUGCAGGAUGUGGUUUGGCAUCAUCUUGAAGGCAGCAUAUGUUGCUCUAAAACUUGUAUAUAUUGAUCAGCAUCAAUUAUGCUUUCCCAGAUGUGUAAGUUAUCCAUGCCAUGGGAUCCCCACAGUUCCGCUAACAAGCCAGGUAGUCGCAGUAAACAAGACUCAGCUUCCAAAAAGAAUAUCAGGUGAUAUUUAUUUACCACACAAAAGUUUUUCUACCCCCUCAGCCCAUCCGGAUCAAUUUUGCUUUCCCCUUUGCAUGUUACAUUUCUAACCUGAGUUUGCAGGUUAAAAAGUGAUAGUAAAGUGAUACAAUGUGUUCACAGAACAUGUUUUUGGGAAGUGAUGAGAACCCAUGCAGUGAUUUCCAGUAUAGAGUCAUGUCUGUUUUAUUUGCCAAAGGGCCUGAAUCACAUCCAUCUGGUAUCGGUUUUUGGGCCUCGUCUUGUUUGUACACAGAUUUGUUGAAAAAUGUAGAAGUGUUUGCACAUGCAACCUCUCCCCAUCCUUACUUAGUGAGGACUCAGCCCCUGUGGUCUGUCGUUUCUAUACCCGGUCAUGUUCAUAUACUGUAUAACUAGUUACUCUUAUUAACUGUGAAUUAUUCCUCCAGUUUUUUUUCUUUUUUAAUCACAUCUUUCUUUCUCAUGACUUUCUCAUGAUCCCAACAUUCAAAAUUAGGAUUGCGCAGCGGUGCUGUUUAGGUCCAAUUAUUAACUCAAGUGGUGUUUUGCAGUGUAUUUUUUGUGACAGGUUCCCAAUGCAUGAUCAGUUUUCACCUUAAGUACUCUUGGACCUAAGACUGAACCAUCUUUGAAAAUAAUGCGUGCUUUCCCUGUUCAAUGUGAGCGUAUGGGUGCACUGUCAACAGUCAGCCAGUUAAACUAAGGUGAAACUUCACUUUGGCGUGUUUUGCACCUGUUCCUUCACCUCACAUUGACACUUCCUGCAGCUGAAUGCCACCCACAUGUUGCUGCUCUGCUCAUGGCUUACUGGGUCUGACCACAUGUGUUUAAUUAGAGUUCCAGUAAACUGAAUUGGCAAACACAUCCAGCCUGAUUUCUGCUGCUGAAACAGCCUAUGGGUUUCUAUGAUGUCUAAUUACAUAGUGAGACAGGAGUAAUUGUGAUAAUAAGUAAUGUGUUUAGAUUGUGCAGAAGUCGGUCCAGAUGUCAAACAGCUGUUUUCUCCAGUUUUUCUUACUUUACAUGGUGUUGUGAGUGCUGCUGUCAGGUCAGCUCAUAUCUUCAUGUAAAUUUCAGCUCCUAAGAGUCAAUGCAUCUCUCUCCUCUGCACAUACUGUAAAUUCAAAGUGAUGUGAAUUACAUUGUCCCAUGUAAAGCAGGGAGUGUUUCUGACAUGAUGGCAGCACGGAGUCUCACAGUAGCAUUAUUGUACAGUAGAAUAGAAACAAGGCUGUUAGGAGGCUGACUCAGAUUAUCUCUGUUAUCAGUGAACUCCCGCUUUACAUGCCGUAUAUGAAGCAGCACAUGGGGCAUAUAGACAAGGAUGCCACCUGUCCACUCAUGUAAAAACAUCAGAGGGAAAAAAAAAGAUCCCCCAUGAUUAAAGAGACUGGAGUUUACACAUACUUUUUAGCAUCUUAAGAGCAAAAGGUGGUUAUGAUAUCAAACAAGAGAUAAUCUUCAUAGGGUAGCAUCUGAUCUGAGUUGAGCUUUAAAAACCAAACAGGUACGUCCACGUCUUCAGUAAUAUAGAGGCUGAUCCUACACGAUUAUGUACUUUUCUGUCUUAUUGUUGUUUCACCCAGGAACCCUCAAUAACUCUGCACACGUGUAGAGCAAGUACAGUAUAGUUCCCAAAAGACAUCCAUGAAGUUAAGAAGUGAAGCCUUGGUUCUAUGUUGCUAAAAAAAGGCCUCUAGCUGCUCUUUUUUUGUUUUCAAAUUUAACAUAAACUUGUAAAAGAAAACAUCCUGAGACUAUCUUUCAGCAGAGACUCAUUCUCAACCUGUCACAUGCUACACAUGUUGUUAUUUAAUAAAAACUGUAAUUGCGAAAAACUUAAGCCCUAGACGUAAAAUGUAAACGUAAAUGAAAAUCAUGUUUUUCUCGUCGUCUACAUGUUCAUAUGGCAUUUUUCUGAUGCUACAGGACAUAUUAUGAGAAAAUUAAGUGUGAAAUUACAUUUUUGAGUAUUCAAAUUGCUGUGAAUCUCUGGCAGGCUCAGAUACAGUGAGAUUUCCUAUGUAGCAAAUCCAAGCUCCGCUAAGCAGGCCACAGUCGGAAAACUAGAAAAGACAAUUGCAGAACAACUGUGUUAGUGGAUUGCAAUGCUCAUAAGAAAGCUAAUUACGAUAUUAACUUUCAUCAUGUCUCCAAAAACAAUAGUGUCUGAGAGCUGAAUAGCUCUUAUGUUACUUCCCUCUUCUAGUACAAUGUUAGGCUACAAGCUAACUCGAGAAGAAGUGUGCAGAGCAGCGCUGUCUCCGCCCACGACUCAGAGGUGAAUUGCUAAUAAUCUACUGGAGCUUUGCAGAUGUAAAGUCCUUAAAAGUGAAACGGGUAACAUGAUUUUGGCUAAAAAUUUCAUAAUCACAAUUUAAAGACCACUGAGCACACUUUCAGUAGUAAAAAUAAAUAAAUAAAUAAAUAAAAUAAUCGGAGUGGGACUUUAAGCUCAUGCUGUGACUUCCACUGUUGAGCCGUGUCUCUUUGAGCCACACGGUAUCAGCUUUUGGUCCUUGUCUCAUUUUGAACAGAUGUUUCUCAAGAUUCACUGAAUCUUUUCAUAAAUUUUAUCCACUGCAGCUGAUGAAAUCCUGAAGUUCUCUUAAAUUUCAGAUGAAGGAAUAUUAGACUAAUAAUGCUGAAUCACCUGCUCACACAGUCUCUCACAGAGUCGUGAAAACUACCAUCUGUAUGCCUGAGAGACUUGACCUCCCCAGAUUGCCCUUUUUCAUGGUCUAAUCAUAAUAAUGACUUCACUCAAGCAAAAGAAUUUCAACUUCUAACAUCAAAGGCAUCUUCUGCUGAGUUAAACAAGAUUUCAUAACAAAGGAAAGCCAUAACUCUGCUGCAAGACAACAUAUUUUUGUACGUAUUAAAUUCAAAAAGUUGCAAGAAGACUUGUUUCCUAAUUUCCAGAAGUAGAAAAAGAGGCCCAGUGUCUCUUUGGACAUUUGCUCUCUAUCUCUGUGGCUGAUUAACAGUUGUGCUACAGUGUGUCAGAUUAUCAUGGUUUAAAUGGUUUAUGACCUGGAAUUAAGCAUAAAGACAUGAUAGCAUCUGUGUAGCAAUGAAAAGAGACUGUGUGGUGCUGCAUUAUUUAGCCAAGGCGCAGCAAAGGAAUAGAAAAUAAAAUGGGACCUAAAAUGGAACCUUGCGGUACACCACAAGUAAUGGCAGAGAUAGAAAAGGAGUAAUUACUUAUGGUGACCACAAAGGUUCGCCCUUUCAUCUGAUCUCUGGGCUUCAGGUCUCUGUUGAUGUGGUUGAGUUUCUUUGUUGCUGGGGUUAAUUUUGGGUUUUCUAGAUUAUUCUGUUUUUUGUGUGUCUUAGCGCCAUUUAAUGCUCUUGGUUUCUUAAUAUGUUUUUAGGGUUCUGAUAUUUUUCAGAUGAACUUUUCAUGAGUUUCUUUUUUUGUUUUUGGGUGUUAUUAACAUUAUUUUUAUUAACUUGUAUUUAAUGUUGCUGUCAUUAAAAGUAUAUCGACACACAAAAUAGAAGUUCAAACUCAAAGCAGUAAUCUGCAAGCUGCUAUGCUUGUAAUUUAUGUUGGUUUUAAAUGUGGUUUAAAGAGAGGAUUUAAAUCUCUUAAAGUUUGCAACUAACCUUGAAUGACCCGUAGCUCUUGGGUGCCAAAUAUGGUCCCUGACCUUUAAUCUCUGAGGUCAGAUUUUGAUUCACUGUAUAAAAAAUUAGGAAUUAAGCACCAAGAAGGCCAGGAGAUAAAAGUUCAAGACAAAUUUGGCAGGUUAAAUAACACCUUUGCAAGCUUUAAUGAGUUUAUUCUGCUGCUGUGCACAGAAAGGUUUUAAGAUGUCAUUAUGAAUUCUUGAAGCAGAUUCUGUCUAAUACUUUGCUGGGUUUGUGACACGGCUUAAAGGGAUUGAGUUCAUGAGACGUAAUCCAUGUUCAGACCAAGAUGCUUUCUUUUAUUUUGACCUUUCAUUGAGAGCCGCCCUGACCUCCACAUUCAUACCUGUGCAGAGGAGCUGCAGACUUCAAAGGCUCCGAAAUGAAAUAAUACAGCUUUAAAUACGUGCGGGACGUGACAGGCUCUUAUUAGUUUAGGAAAUAAAUUGGGUAAGUCUGGAGCGUUUAUAUGGAAAGAUCAAUACACUCAGCUACAUUUACUCCAUAAUCACUCAUAUUAACUUAGAACAGACUCUUUUAGUGGGAAGAUUUCAUAACUUUGUGAAUAAAUCAAACUGUAGUUUUGUUAUCAGGAUCCAGCUAUGGAUCAUCGCAAGGCA